Molecule: ribosomal RNA, 744 nt
Filed under: uncultured bacterium
Lineage: Bacteria
Description: bacterial SSU rRNA
Rfam family: Bacterial small subunit ribosomal RNA
Source: RNAcentral
AGAGUUUGAUCAUGGCUCAGAACGAACGCUGGCGGCAGGCCUCAAACAUGCAAGUCUAGGGGGUGUAGCAAUACAUCACCGGCGGACGGGUGCGUAACGCGUGGGAAUAUACCUAUUGGUUCGGAACAACUGAGGGAAACUUCAGCUAAUACCGAAUAAGUCCUUACGGAGAAAGAUUUAUCGCCAAUAGAUUAGCCCGCGUUCGAUUAGCUAGUUGGUGGGGUAACGGCUCACCAAGGCGACGAUCGAUAGCUGUUCUGAGAGGAAGAUCAGCCACACUGGGACUGAGACACGGCCCAGACUCCUACGGGAGGCAGCAGUUGGGAAUCUUGGACAAUGGGGGAAACCCUGAUCCAGCCAUGCCGCGUGAGUGAUGAAGGCCUUCGGGUUGUAAAACUCUUUCGCGCACGACGAUAAUGACGGUAGUGCGAGAAGAAGCUCCGGCUAACUUCGUGCCAGCAGCCGCGGUAAUACGAAGGGGGCUAGCGUUGUUCGGAAUUACUGGGCGUAAAGCGCGCGCAGGCGGCUAUCCAAGUCAGUGGUGAAAGCCCGGAGCUCAACUCCGGAACUGCCAUUGAAACUGUUUAGCUUGAGUAUGAGAGAGGUGAGUGGAAUUCCCAGUGUAGAGGUGAAAUUCGUAGAUAUUGGGAAGAACACCGGUGGCGAAGGCGGCUCACUGGCUCAUUACUGACGCUCAGGCGCGACAGCGUGGGGAUCAAACAGGAUUAGAUACCCCCGUAGUCC